UAUUCUGGUUUUAGUUAAUCCAAACUAGAACACAGACUCUUCUUCAGAGAGUGUGAGAGAGCGAACGCGGGCGGUCGGUUCUAAUGGAGACGAGGGAGAGCAAACUUACAUGAAACCAAGGUAGAGGUCUUUGUGUUCGUGUUCCAGCCAGGAAGGACGAUGAUUUCUUGACUCAGAUUUUUCUUGGAUGAAGUAGUAGAUUCAGAACACAAAAACGGCCGCCGGCGUGUUCUUACAGUACGAACAACAUCAAACUGAUCGAUUGAAAGGAAACGAGUGUUAAAAACGUAGCUAGCACUACCAAAUCUGAUUCAGCAAAGGCGACAAGAGCGCAAAACAAGUCAUAGGUCUGUGUCUGUGUUCGUGUUCCAACCAGGACCAUGACUCAGAUUUUCUCAAGGACGUAUGAAGCACAUUCAGAACAAACACGGUCGCCGACGUGUUCUUACAGUACUAACAACAUCAAACUGAUCGAUUGAAAGAUAGGAGAUAUGCUUUUGUUUGAAGAAUUAAGAAGAUUCAGAACCAAACAAUAACUAAACCUUCGCCUUACGGGACGACCGGCCCAACAGCAAGUCACCAAUAAUGGGAAAAUCCUCUAAUCCAAGAUGAAUAAUAUCUGGUGGAAGUAUUGUUUUCGUGCCUUUCUUCUUUUAACUCUCAUCUGAUUUGACGAGAAACUCCACAACGACAUAAAAAGUUUCUUUUUGGAGAUUCUGUGAUACAGCCUUCCACAAAAACAACUCGUCAUCGGAGGAGAGAAGAAGCUCAUUGCUGUUUUCCAACA
Camelina sativa (false flax) is the source of this 787-nucleotide non-coding RNA. Lineage: Eukaryota; Viridiplantae; Streptophyta; Magnoliopsida; Brassicales; Brassicaceae. The record is from RefSeq and is a predicted model, not a curated record.